Molecule: long non-coding RNA, 412 nt
Filed under: Capsicum annuum
Lineage: Eukaryota; Viridiplantae; Streptophyta; Magnoliopsida; Solanales; Solanaceae
Description: long non-coding RNA (CANN_LNC000165)
Source: RNAcentral
GUAGAGUUGGCAUUUGAUUGCCCUAUUGUUUACUUGAAAUUCGACUCUAACCUUGCACUAGUAUAAGACAAUGGCCAAAAGCUAUCAAUCCUAGGGGAACUCAGGAAGGCAAAGGGGGAGAUUUUCCUUUAUCCACCCGAAAUAGAGCUAUCAGCGCUAAUGGAUCAAUCCUUAUUGAACUGGUGAAUUCACCUAUUGCCAAUUAUCCUAUAUUUUACUCUACUAGACAAUAUUAGUUGUCUAACCCUAAUAGAUAGGGCUCCUUCCGAAGCCGCUAAAACCCUCUUCUAUUUGAAUCUUCUCCCGCGUGAGACAAGGUUAUGAAAUAGCUUAGUGCUAGCUAAGGAAGAGUGUAACCGGAUCGCAUCCGCUUCCUGAUACCUAGCACAGAUUCCCCAGUCUAUUUAGCGCU